This 1511-nucleotide ribosomal RNA is filed under the name Klebsiella pneumoniae IS39. RNAcentral describes it as "SSU rRNA". It matches the Rfam family "Bacterial small subunit ribosomal RNA". Lineage: Bacteria; Pseudomonadati; Pseudomonadota; Gammaproteobacteria; Enterobacterales; Enterobacteriaceae. The record is from RNAcentral.
UUAAAUUGAAGAGUUUGAUCAUGGCUCAGAUUGAACGCUGGCGGCAGGCCUAACACAUGCAAGUCGAGCGGUAGCACAGAGAGCUUGCUCUCGGGUGACGAGCGGCGGACGGGUGAGUAAUGUCUGGGAAACUGCCUGAUGGAGGGGGAUAACUACUGGAAACGGUAGCUAAUACCGCAUAACGUCGCAAGACCAAAGUGGGGGACCUUCGGGCCUCAUGCCAUCAGAUGUGCCCAGAUGGGAUUAGCUAGUAGGUGGGGUAACGGCUCACCUAGGCGACGAUCCCUAGCUGGUCUGAGAGGAUGACCAGCCACACUGGAACUGAGACACGGUCCAGACUCCUACGGGAGGCAGCAGUGGGGAAUAUUGCACAAUGGGCGCAAGCCUGAUGCAGCCAUGCCGCGUGUGUGAAGAAGGCCUUCGGGUUGUAAAGCACUUUCAGCGGGGAGGAAGGCGUUAAGGUUAAUAACCUUGGCGAUUGACGUUACCCGCAGAAGAAGCACCGGCUAACUCCGUGCCAGCAGCCGCGGUAAUACGGAGGGUGCAAGCGUUAAUCGGAAUUACUGGGCGUAAAGCGCACGCAGGCGGUCUGUCAAGUCGGAUGUGAAAUCCCCGGGCUCAACCUGGGAACUGCAUUCGAAACUGGCAGGCUAGAGUCUUGUAGAGGGGGGUAGAAUUCCAGGUGUAGCGGUGAAAUGCGUAGAGAUCUGGAGGAAUACCGGUGGCGAAGGCGGCCCCCUGGACAAAGACUGACGCUCAGGUGCGAAAGCGUGGGGAGCAAACAGGAUUAGAUACCCUGGUAGUCCACGCCGUAAACGAUGUCGAUUUGGAGGUUGUGCCCUUGAGGCGUGGCUUCCGGAGCUAACGCGUUAAAUCGACCGCCUGGGGAGUACGGCCGCAAGGUUAAAACUCAAAUGAAUUGACGGGGGCCCGCACAAGCGGUGGAGCAUGUGGUUUAAUUCGAUGCAACGCGAAGAACCUUACCUGGUCUUGACAUCCACAGAACUUAGCAGAGAUGCUUUGGUGCCUUCGGGAACUGUGAGACAGGUGCUGCAUGGCUGUCGUCAGCUCGUGUUGUGAAAUGUUGGGUUAAGUCCCGCAACGAGCGCAACCCUUAUCCUUUGUUGCCAGCGGUUAGGCCGGGAACUCAAAGGAGACUGCCAGUGAUAAACUGGAGGAAGGUGGGGAUGACGUCAAGUCAUCAUGGCCCUUACGACCAGGGCUACACACGUGCUACAAUGGCAUAUACAAAGAGAAGCGACCUCGCGAGAGCAAGCGGACCUCAUAAAGUAUGUCGUAGUCCGGAUUGGAGUCUGCAACUCGACUCCAUGAAGUCGGAAUCGCUAGUAAUCGUAGAUCAGAAUGCUACGGUGAAUACGUUCCCGGGCCUUGUACACACCGCCCGUCACACCAUGGGAGUGGGUUGCAAAAGAAGUAGGUAGCUUAACCUUCGGGAGGGCGCUUACCACUUUGUGAUUCAUGACUGGGGUGAAGUCGUAACAAGGUAACCG